RNAcentral lists this ribosomal RNA (253 nucleotides) under uncultured bacterium. RNAcentral describes it as "partial 16S ribosomal RNA". It matches the Rfam family "Bacterial small subunit ribosomal RNA", at positions 524 to 776 of the family's 1533-position model. The record is from RNAcentral.
UACGUAGGGUGCAAGCGUUAAUCGGAAUUACUGGGCGUAAAGCGUGCGCAGGCGGCUUUGCAAGACAGAUGUGAAAUCCCCGGGCUCAACCUGGGAACUGCAUUUGUGACUGCAUGGCUGGAGUGCGGCAGAGGGGGAUGGAAUUCCGCGUGUAGCAGUGAAAUGCGUAGAUAUGCGGAGCAACACCGAUGGCGAAGGCAAUCCCCUGGGCCUGCACUGACGCUCAUGCACGAAAGCGUGGGGAGCAAACAGG